GAUGAACGCUGGCGGCGUGCCUAAUACAUGCAAGUCGAGCGAACGGACGAUAAGCUUGCUUCUCUGAUGUUAGCGGCGGACGGGUGAGUAACACGUGGAUAACCUACCUAUAAGACUGGGAUAACUUCGGGAAACCGGAGCUAAUACCGGAUAAUAUUUUGAACCGCUUGGUUCAAAAGUGAAAGACGGUCUUGCUGUCACUUAUAGAUGGAUCCGGGCUGCAUUAGCUAGUUGGUAAGGUAACGGCUUACCAAGGCAACGAUGCAUAGCCGACCUGAGAGGGUGAUCGGCCACACUGGAACUGAGACACGGUCCAGACUCCUACGGGAGGCAGCAGUAGGGAAUCUGCCGCAAUGGGGGAAAGCCUGACGGGGCAACGCCGCGUGAGUGAUGAAGGCCUUCGGAUCGUAAAACUCUGUUAUUAGGGAAGAACAUAUGUGUAAGUAACUGUGCACAUCUUGACGGUACCUAAUCAGAAAGCCACGGCUAACUACGUG
This 497-nucleotide ribosomal RNA is filed under the name uncultured bacterium. RNAcentral's name for it is "partial 16S ribosomal RNA". It matches the Rfam family "Bacterial small subunit ribosomal RNA", at positions 28 to 507 of the family's 1533-position model. The record is from RNAcentral.